ACUUUUAACCCAUUUUUUUCCACCAUCCCUUCCUAAUGUCAUCUAUUCACAUAAAAGAAAAUACUUCCUUCUUUCUGCUGUACUUUCUUCACAAACUUUACAAAAAUAUUCCAUAUUACCAAUACCCCUUAAAACUCAUAAAUGUUACAUAUUAUUACCACACUCUAUUACUUAGACAACUAUUACCCAAGUUACUUAUGACAUAUCUCUAACCAUAUACUUUAUUUACACUGCCUUCCACCUAUCCAUAUGUUGUCUCUUAAAAAUAUGCCCAAAGCAUAGAUACAACACACCUACAAUUCAUUUUUGCUUUUCUCUAUAUCCAUAAAUUUUUUUUUAACUAUUUUCUAUUUCCUUAUACACUACAGCUACUAUUAAGAAUUACUUCUAAUAACCAUUAAAACAUUGCAUACACAAACAUUUUUCUAACAUCAAGUAACAUUAUGUUAUAACACAAGACUUGCACAGAUACACUAUCCCCACCCUGCCCACAUUUUCCUUAACUCCACCCCUUACUGUUGACACCUACUUUAAAUACAAGGCAACCUUUCUCACUGCUCAUACUUCUUCUGAUGCAUCCUGAAGGCAACUAUGGACCAACAAGGACAAACAUUAAAAAGAUCUACAAUCAACAAAAGAACUUUCGACGUACCCCAAGGACUACAAGUCUGCUUGCUAACAGACUCAAUGUGUCGAGGUAUUGAGGACUACCUACCAGCUGCAAAAUGCUGGGUACACCCAGGCACUACUCUUGAGAGAUCUACUAAACAACACAUAUACCACUUUGAGACAAUAAACAACAAUGCAGUGGUACUACUCCACAUUGGAACAAAUGACAUUGCAAGUGGAGCACCUCCAUCGCUGAUCAUCCAACGAAUGAAAGCACUAAUCACUUCAAUCUCUCAAGCAAGCCCUCACAUUCUGUAUUUUGCAAUUAGUGCUGUCUUGCCACGACUUACAGAUGACUCAACAAAAAAAACAACAGUGAAACAAUACAACACCAUGCUACAUCGCUGGACUACUCACACAGACAACAUUAUCUUUCUGAAGACAACAAAACCUUUCCUCAAACAUGGAAAAAUAGUCCACCACCUAUACAAACAAGAUGGCCUCCACCUUAAUCAACAAGGAAAACAAACUUUUUACAUACUUUCAGCAGUUCCUUUGGCAUUUUUGCCACUUUUCAGCACAAACAAAACAAGUUUAGUAUCCCAUUAUUUAUUUUUUUUUCAGUCAAACUUGUUCUUAUUAAUAACCAUUACAUGUUGUCCCUUUCUGAAAGAAUAAAGUGCCAUUCUCUUUAUUUGCAACCAUUUGGCUUAUUCUUGCAUUUCACUUUUCUACACAUACAACACAAGCACUUAAAUUCCUUUUCACUAUCACUUCAUCAAUUCCUUGCAAUUUCCUUUGCCAUUACAUGUCAAACACAUUUUGGGUAUACAAUGAUACUUCACAUACUAAACAUUUCCUGUUAAAACA
Cyprinus carpio (common carp) is the source of this 1479-nucleotide long non-coding RNA. RefSeq lists it as uncharacterized. NCBI's taxonomy places the organism in Eukaryota, Metazoa, Chordata, Actinopteri, Cypriniformes, Cyprinidae. The record is from RefSeq and is a predicted model, not a curated record. The transcript is spliced from 3 exons.